This 72-nucleotide transfer RNA is filed under the name Takifugu rubripes (torafugu). RNAcentral describes it as "tRNA-Gln (CTG) (tRNA-Gln-CTG-3-1)". It matches the Rfam family "tRNA". Rfam says of the family: Transfer RNA (tRNA) molecules are approximately 80 nucleotides in length. Their secondary structure includes four short double-helical elements and three loops (D, anti-codon, and T loops). Further hydrogen bonds mediate the characteristic L-shaped molecular structure. tRNAs have two regions of fundamental functional importance: the anti-codon, which is responsible for specific mRNA codon recognition, and the 3' end, to which the tRNAs corresponding amino acid is attached (by aminoacyl-tRNA synthetases). tRNAs cope with the degeneracy of the genetic code in two manners: having more than one tRNA (with a specific anti-codon) for a particular amino acid; and 'wobble' base-pairing, i.e. permitting non-standard base-pairing at the 3rd anti-codon position. Lineage: Eukaryota; Metazoa; Chordata; Actinopteri; Tetraodontiformes; Tetraodontidae. The record is from Rfam by way of RNAcentral.
GGUUCUGUGGUGUAAUGGUCAGCACUCUGGACUCUGAAUCCAGCGAUCCGAGUUCAAAUCUCGGCAGGACCU